UCUUACUUCUUGCCUCACGGUGUAUUGGUGUCUUCUACUGCUAAUAUAACCGUGAUUAAUUUUUCUUUUCUUUUUUUAUCACUACAAGCAGUAUUAUGAGUGCGGCUCUGUUCUGAGUGACAAUUACCUCAGCACAGCCUCGACCAAUCAGCACCAAGUAUUCAAGUCACGUGAUACUCUCUCCUCGCCGUCUCCUCAGCCAUUCGCCCUGCGCCCGCUGACGGGAUGUGAUGGGUCUCCGGUUGUGUUGCAGCGGUGAGGUGGUGUUGCAUCUUUUCUCAGCGGGCGUGUUCUGGUGGAGGGAGAGGUGGAUAGGAGAUAAUUGGUGGGCUGUGUGUGGUGAGUGCUACAUUGUCUGUGAGGGACCCCCAGAGCCACACAGCACCAGCUGCAACAGCUACAGCAGCAGCAGCAGCAGCAGCAGCAGCAGCAGCAGCAGCAGGAGGAGGAGGAGGAGGAAAUGGCAUCCACCUUCUACCUCACCCAGUGUCACCGGGGCCUCCUCCUCCAGCAGCUGGCCAGGGUGCAGGGACAGGAUGAGCAAGUUGAGGAGUGGUGGUGGUGGUAGAAUUGAUAGCAAUGUUCAGUAUAGUAGUAAAAAUGCUAGUAGAGCUCCUGGAUUAUAUAUUUUUAGUAGUAUAGUAGUAGUAGUAGUAGUUCCAGCAUUUGUUGAAAUAUACUGGUAAUUAUACACUAAUAAUAAUAAUAAUAAUAAUAAUAAUAAUAACAAUAAUAAUAGUAAUACAUCUAUCCAGCCCAUUAUUCUUGUGUAGAGUUGAGGUGCAAACAAACACCUGUAAGUGUGGACUGCCUUUAUUCAUCAGUCACACAUACAAAACACAACAACAACUAACACAUAAACAACAACAACACAAUCAACACAUCAUUUAAUAACAAACAGACAACACUAACAAAACAAACUGUUAAUAUUCCUUGUAAAUUGUGAAAGAAAACAAAAAAAGGAAAACAAAGAUGAUGAUGAUAAUGGUGGUCUUUCCCCAGCAGGUGGUGACAGAGAGGGUGGCCAGCUUGUCCCUCCCUCCUGCCACCCAGCCACAGCACUGGCAGUUGCUGCAGUGAGACUGCCCAGGCACAAGUUUGUGCACGUGUCCAGGACGUGAAGGUGAUGGGAACGUGUCCUGUAGGAGGGAGCAGAGCUGUAACAGUACCCGAGUCUGCUGCUGUGCUGGGAGGAGGAGAAAAACAUCAGCAGUAGUUAGUAGUGGUAGUAGAAGUAUUCAGCAGUGCUGCUGCUGCUGCUGUCAGUGGUGCAGCUGUUCACUCCUCCACAGCUGCUGCCUUCCCUCAACAUACUGUCUUCCCUCACCUACAAUGAACAACUAUGAACAAUACCUCUCGUGCAAUCAGGCAGCGCUCAGCUGUACUCACCGAUAGACUGACCACUAAGAAUUACCUGUGGGCCACAUGACAAGGCCCACGCCAGCCAGGCUUGGUUGCCAAUCAAUAACAACAACAACAACAACAUCUCGUGCAAUGAAGAACACUGAAUAACAACAACACCUCUCCCCUGCAUCAUCAACAAUCAACAACAUCUGCUUUGUUUCACUCAUGCUGCCCCCUCCCCCCUCUCUCUCUCUCUCUCUCUCUCUCUCUCUCUCUCUCUCUCUCUCUCUCUCUCUCUCUCUCUCUCUCUCUCACCUCACCUCACCUCACCUCACCUCAGCCCACAGUGCCACAGUAUGUCCCCCCACAGUAUGCUUACAAACCCAGUGACUCCCCACAGUCCCUCACCAAUAAGUGACCCCCUCACACACACACACACACAGCAUAACAUACACAAACGCUGCAUCUUGUACAAUGGCCACAAUAAAGAAUGGACACACAAAA
Molecule: long non-coding RNA, 1848 nt
Organism: Scylla paramamosain (green mud crab)
Lineage: Eukaryota; Metazoa; Arthropoda; Malacostraca; Decapoda; Portunidae
Exons: 2
Source: RefSeq, a predicted model, not a curated record